Molecule: non-coding RNA, 21 nt
Filed under: Caenorhabditis elegans
Lineage: Eukaryota; Metazoa; Nematoda; Chromadorea; Rhabditida; Rhabditidae
Source: RNAcentral
UAUUAUUGCUAUUUUAUUUCC